Molecule: ribosomal RNA, 492 nt
Filed under: uncultured bacterium
Lineage: Bacteria
Description: partial 16S ribosomal RNA
Rfam family: Bacterial small subunit ribosomal RNA
Source: RNAcentral
AGUGAACGCUGGCGGUAGGCCUGACACAUGCAAGUCGAACGGCAGCACAGUAAGAGCUUGCUCUUACGGGUGGCGAGUGGCGGACGGGUGAGGAAUACAUCGGAAUCUACUUUUUCGUGGGGGAUAACGUAGGGAAACUUACGCUAAUACCGCAUACGACCUACGGGUGAAAGCAGGGGAUCUUCGGACCUUGCGCGAUUGAAUGAGCCGAUGUCGGAUUAGCUAGUUGGCGGGGUAAAGGCCCACCAAGGCGACGAUCCGUAGCUGGUCUGAGAGGAUGAUCAGCCACACUGGAACUGAGACACGGUCCAGACUCCUACGGGAGGCAGCAGUGGGGAAUAUUGGACAAUGGGCGCAAGCCUGAUCCAGCCAUACCGCGUGGGUGAAGAAGGCCUUCGGGUUGUAAAGCCCUUUUGUUGGGAAAGAAAAGCAGCAGCUUAAUACGCCGCUGUUCUGACGGUACCCAAAGAAUAAGCACCGGCUAACUUCGUG